RNAcentral lists this ribosomal RNA (250 nucleotides) under uncultured bacterium. RNAcentral describes it as "partial 16S ribosomal RNA". It matches the Rfam family "Bacterial small subunit ribosomal RNA", at positions 524 to 773 of the family's 1533-position model. The record is from RNAcentral.
UACGGGGGGUGCUAGCGUUAUUCGGAAUCAUUGGGCGUAAAGGGCGCGUAGGCGGUCGCUUAAGUCAGAUGUGAAAGCCCUCGGCUUAACCGAGGAAGUGCAUUUGAUACUAAGUGACUUGAGUAUGGGAGAGGGAAGCGGAAUUCCUGGUGUAGCGGUGAAAUGCGUAGAUAUCAGGAGGAACACCGGUGGCGAAGGCGGCUUCCUGGACCAAUACUGACGCUGAGGCGCGAAGGCGUGGGGAGCAAAC